GUCCUCUCAGGAUCGCACCUGGAGAGUUUCCAGUACUCUACCAGUCUCGGCUAUGGAAGGAAGAGUCAGGUGGCCUACCCAUUCCAUUCCUAGCUUGGGCAGAGGCUAGCAAGUGGAAGGCAUUCUGCUACAAGU
Small nucleolar RNA from Tachyglossus aculeatus (Australian echidna), 135 nucleotides. The record is from RefSeq and is a predicted model, not a curated record. NCBI's taxonomy places the organism in Eukaryota, Metazoa, Chordata, Mammalia, Monotremata, Tachyglossidae.